RNAcentral lists this ribosomal RNA (252 nucleotides) under uncultured bacterium. Its description in RNAcentral is "partial 16S ribosomal RNA". It matches the Rfam family "Bacterial small subunit ribosomal RNA", at positions 524 to 776 of the family's 1533-position model. The record is from RNAcentral.
UACAGAGGGUGCAAGCGUUAAUCGGAAUUACUGGGCGUAAAGGGCGCGUAGGCGGAUAUUUAAGUCAAAUGUGAAAGCCCUGGGCUUAACCUAGGAAUUGCAUUCGAUACUGGGUAUCUGGAGUAUGGUAGAGGAAAGUGGAAUUCCCGGUGUAGCGGUGAAAUGCGUAGAUAUCGGGAAGAACAUCAAGGCGAAGGCAGCUUUCUGGACCAAUACUGACGCUGAGGCGCGAAAGCGUGGGGAGCAAACAGG